UACGUAGGGUGCGAGCGUUGUCCGGAAUUACUGGGCGUAAAGGGCGCGUAGGCGGUUGCUCAAGUCAGGCGUGAAAGCCCCGGGCUCAACCUGGGAAUAGCGCUUGAGACUGGGCGGCUUGAGUUCGGGAGAGGUGAGUGGAAUUCCCAGUGUAGAGGUGAAAUUCGUAGAUAUUGGGAAGAACACCAGUGGCGAAGGCGGCUCACUGGACCGACACUGACGCUGAGGCGCGAAAGCGUGGGGAGCAAACAGG
Molecule: ribosomal RNA, 253 nt
Filed under: uncultured bacterium
Lineage: Bacteria
Description: partial 16S ribosomal RNA
Rfam family: Bacterial small subunit ribosomal RNA
Source: RNAcentral